AAUCUAAGUCAUACCACGUUGAACACUGCCCCACACCCCAUCAGCACUGGGCACAUAAGCAACAUUGGGCCAGAUCAGUAGUACGGUGGGGGACCACGUGCGAACCCCUGGUGACGAUCU
RNAcentral lists this ribosomal RNA (120 nucleotides) under Volvox carteri f. nagariensis. Lineage: Eukaryota; Viridiplantae; Chlorophyta; Chlorophyceae; Chlamydomonadales; Volvocaceae. The record is from RNAcentral.